ACUAUUUUGGGAUAAUUUUAGGACCAUUUCGGGCUUGGUUUAGGACCAUUUUGUAACUUGUGGGGGACUAAUUCGGGACCAGUUUUGAACAAAUUCAGGAAAAUUGUUGGUCUAGUUUUAAAAUGUUUACAGCCAUUUUGGGACUAGUUCGCGAUCAUUUUGGGACUACUAAAGGACCAUUUCGGGACCGUUUUACGACUUUUCCGGCAUUUUCGGGCCAAUUUAGAACUAUUCCGGCAUAAUUUCGGGACUGGUUGAGGACAAUUUCGGGAUAGAGCUCGACUAUUUCAACACCUUUUUAUGACUAGUUCAGUAAAAUUUCGGACCUAAUAAGGGUCAUUUCGGGACUGUCUCAAGUCUUGUUUGAAAUCAUUACGGGACAAGUUUACGAUUCUUUCAGAACCACCUCAGGACAAUUAUUGGACUAUUUAUUACGGGAACAUUACGAGACAAUUCGAAACUAGACCUAGAAGUUCAAAGUUACCAACUUAGGAUCAAUACAGACACAAUUUUUAAUCUCUAAAUUCUGGAAAUCUCGGCAAAUCGGGUAUAGUUUCCAAAAUCUGUUUUGGUAGAAGCGAAUUUAUAUAAGCGAUGAUAGGACCACAAGUCUUAAAUGAUAUUAUUUGUAUAUAUUUAAUUCUCUUUCUAGAAAAUACAACAUUAACUCAUCGAAUAAUUCAAGGCAAUCGACCCAAGAAAGCGGGCAUAGUGAUUCAUAUUUAGAAAAUGCAAUAUUUUUGGUUUGUGUCCCCAGCGUGUCCUGCGAUUUCCUUUUUUUUGCUUGAACUUUAACACAUUUUACUUUUAUUAUUUUAUUUGUGAAAAACUAUCAAGGAAGUUGGCUUUCAUGCACGAGAGAUCGUCUGCAAGUCAAGACUUUUUUAUUGAAAUAUUUUAUUUAAGCAAUUAAGUUCAUCUCCUUUCGAUUUUAACCGGAGCAAACUUAUGAAAUAAAAAUAUGAAACCUCGCACUUUUCUUUGAAUUCCAUCAGCCAACCAACCUAUCUCGCAUGUAUUUUUAUCAUUAAAAAAAUUAAUUUUUUGCAUAAAUUUAGGGUUCGCAACAAUUUACAAAUAAUGGAAAAAAUAUUAUAGAAUAGAAUAGUUUAAGUGUUAGCGUACUGUAACUAGCUUAUACAUAUAGAUAAAUACGUAGUAUAAAAUAUUUAUUAUUUAAUUCCCUGUUAGAGUUUAGUUCAAAUUCUAGCGAAGUAUAAUGCUGUACAUAUAGCGGUAAUAAAGUUAUAAAUAAUUGUGUAGUAAGCAGCGUUUUAGUAAGUAGUAAAACAAAUACAAAACGAGCACAGAAACUCACCGCUGCAAUUCACAGCACGCAAAAAAAGUUGUAAUCAAAUGAAAAUUAACCGACAUAAUAUCAAACAUCAUCGAAAAUAUUUAAAAAAAAAAAUUAUGUAAAAUCUAUAUGUGUAUGUAGUGAUAAGUGAAAACGAUUGGUAAUGAUUGGUAUUAACGAAAAUUGCAUAAAUUGAAUGAAGACUUUCAGCUAAAACGAAGGGGGAAUAAUUGUACGAAUUGCAGUUACUAUAAAAAAUGCCUAGAAGAAGUACAUACAUACAUAAAUACAUAAUUAAGUAGUAAAUGUGGUAAUUGAAUAGUUAAUUUAAACUGAUGUAGCAUAAAAGACAUUGUACGCUGUCACAUUUAAGUAAAUUAUAUUAAGUAUACACAUACUUCAUAUGAAUAAAAACAAGUAAUUACAUACUACAUUAAAUAGUUGAUAUUAUAUUUUAACGAAAAAAAAUGAUGAUAUUAAAAGAAAUAUACUAUAUGAAAUAAUAAAAAAACUAAAAGAAAAAA
Molecule: long non-coding RNA, 1821 nt
Organism: Rhagoletis zephyria (snowberry fruit fly)
Lineage: Eukaryota; Metazoa; Arthropoda; Insecta; Diptera; Tephritidae
Source: RefSeq, a predicted model, not a curated record